GACGAACGCUGGCGGCGUGCUUAACACAUGCAAGUCGAACGGAAAGGCCCUGCUUUUGUGGGGUGCUCGAGUGGCGAACGGGUGAGUAACACGUGAGUAACCUGCCCUUGACUUUGGGAUAACUUCAGGAAACUGGGGCUAAUACCGGAUAGGAGCUCCUGCUGCAUGGUGGGGGUUGGAAAGUUUCGGCGGUUGGGGAUGGACUCGCGGCUUAUCAGCUUGUUGGUGGGGUAGUGGCUUACCAAGGCUUUGACGGGUAGCCGGCCUGAGAGGGUGACCGGCCACAUGGGGACUGAGAUACGGCCCAGACUCCUACGGGAGGCAGCAGUGGGGAAUAUUGCACAAUGGGCGGAAGCCUGAUGCAGCAACGCCGCGUGCGGGAUGACGGCCUUCGGGUGGUAAACCGCUUUCGCCUGUGACGAAGCGUGAGGGACGGUAAUGGGUAAAGAAGCACCGGCUAACUACGU
RNAcentral lists this ribosomal RNA (467 nucleotides) under uncultured bacterium. RNAcentral describes it as "partial 16S ribosomal RNA". It matches the Rfam family "Bacterial small subunit ribosomal RNA", at positions 28 to 506 of the family's 1533-position model. The record is from RNAcentral.